UACGUAGGGUGCAAGUGUUGUCCGGAAUUAUUGGGCGUAAAGAGCUCGUAGGCGGUUUGUCGCGUCUGCUGUGAAAACUCGGGGCUUAACCCCGGGCCUGCAGUGGGUACGGGCAGACUAGAGUGCGGUAGGGGAGACUGGAAUUCCUGGUGUAGCGGUGAAAUGCGCAGAUAUCAGGAGGAACACCGGUGGCGAAGGCGGGUCUCUGGGCCGUAACUGACGCUGAGGAGCGAAAGCGUGGGGAGCGAACAGG
Molecule: ribosomal RNA, 253 nt
Filed under: uncultured bacterium
Lineage: Bacteria
Description: partial 16S ribosomal RNA
Rfam family: Bacterial small subunit ribosomal RNA
Source: RNAcentral